AGGAUAAUAGUUAAUAAUAACAUUUGAUUUGCAUUCAAAAAUUAUCAAAUUUGAUUUAUCUU
RNAcentral lists this transfer RNA (62 nucleotides) under Orectochilus villosus. RNAcentral's name for it is "tRNA-Ala". The record is from RNAcentral. Lineage: Eukaryota; Metazoa; Arthropoda; Insecta; Coleoptera; Gyrinidae.